This is a long non-coding RNA of Nymphaea colorata (pocket water lily), 1124 nucleotides long. RefSeq lists it as uncharacterized. The transcript has 2 exons. The record is from RefSeq and is a predicted model, not a curated record. NCBI's taxonomy places the organism in Eukaryota, Viridiplantae, Streptophyta, Magnoliopsida, Nymphaeales, Nymphaeaceae.
UCUGUUCAGGGUCGACUGGGGGAUGACUGAGACGAGUGCGGACUCGUACGGUUGUUUCGGCCAACAUGAUUCGAACGAGACGCAUGGGGCGGAGGGGGACAUCGAGACUCUUCAGCUCAUCCCCCUGCGUGGGGGGGAAAACUCGGAAAUCGGUUCUGACAAGCCGGAAGCCGACGAGUUCUAUCCGAGCUGGUACUUCGGGGACGCCGGCGGCGAACAAGGAGCGUCCCUCGAGCUCACCCUCGGCUCCUUCCCAACCGCCGAUGGCUUCCUCCGGGGGUCCGGCUCCUCUGGCAUAGGUGGGCUCUGUCCCGGUUCUUAACCGGCCGAGACAUUUCGCUUCGGUGCAUGUCGAGAAUCCGGUGUUCGAGUUUUUGAUCGACUUAGGCAUCGACCACCUCUCUCGCUUCUCCUUUCUUCGGAAUGGAGACACAGAACAGACAAUAUAAAUAUUUGUUUUUUCUUCGGAAUGGAGACACAGAACAGACAAUAUAAAUAUUUGUUCUGUUCCUUAACGUUCCGUGGUUUACCACGGAACGCCGUCGCCCGACCUCGUUGCAGCUCCCCCCGAUUUCACCCCUGCUCCCUCCAUCUCACCCUCUCGCUGCUUCCCCUCUCAUUUUCUAUUGCUCUCUUCUCUUUCUCUCUUCCUCUUCCUACCUCUUUCUUCCUCCCCACUCUUUCUUUUCUUCCUCUGUUGGCCCCUUUUUCUGCAGUUGUUAGCCUAGGGUUCAACUAUGAAUGAGAUGUGCUCAAUUCUGGACAGUAUUGCAGUUGCAAGGAGGUGGAUGAUUUUUAUCCCUCUGAAAGAGUAAUGUGGACAGUUCGGUCUGAACAGUUGCGCAUGCUCGUUUCAGUAUUCGGGCCGUCGGUCACUAUUAACACCGUCGUCAUCCCCCAAGAAAAAUGGCCUUCCAAGUGGCAGUGAAGAAACCACACACCUGCAUUGUCACUCGUCCCGAUAAGUCAGUCGGCUAUAUUCAAUUGUGGCUUGUUAUCAUAUUCAAUUGUGUUCCAUAUUUUUUUGUAUGAAAAUUUUACAAAAUUUUAAGGAAGCCCACUCAAACUCCUGGUUUGUUUAUAUGUUUAUCAUAUUCAAUUUGAGCAUCUCAUUUCUAUCGUUU